ACGGGAGGCAGCAGUAGGGAAUAUUGCUCAAUGGGCGAAAGCCUGAAGCAGCAACGCCGCGUGGAGGAUGACACUUUUCGGAGCGUAAACUCCUUUUCUUGGGGAAGAAAUUUGACGGUACCUAAGGAAUAAGCACCGGCUAACUCCGUGCCAGCAGCCGCGGUAAUACGGAGGGUGCAAGGGUUACUCGGAAUCACUGGGCGUAAAGGACGCGUAGGCGGAUUAUCAAGUCUUUUGUGAAAUCUAAUGGCUUAACCAUUAAACUGCUUGGGAAACUGAUAAUCUAGAGUGAGGAAGAGGUAGAUGGAAUUCUUGGUGUAGGGGUAAAAUGCGUAGAGAUCAAGAAGAAUACCCAUCGCGAAGGCGAUCUACUAGAACUCAACUGACGCUAAUGCGUGAAAGCGUGGGGAGCAAACAGGAUUAGAUACCCUGGUA
RNAcentral lists this ribosomal RNA (435 nucleotides) under uncultured Campylobacter sp. Its description in RNAcentral is "bacterial SSU rRNA". It matches the Rfam family "Bacterial small subunit ribosomal RNA", at positions 341 to 792 of the family's 1533-position model. Lineage: Bacteria; Pseudomonadati; Campylobacterota; Epsilonproteobacteria; Campylobacterales; Campylobacteraceae. The record is from RNAcentral.